Molecule: ribosomal RNA, 161 nt
Filed under: uncultured bacterium
Lineage: Bacteria
Description: partial 16S ribosomal RNA
Rfam family: Bacterial small subunit ribosomal RNA
Source: RNAcentral
UAGGGAAUCUUCCACAAUGGGCGAAGCCUGAUGGAGCAACGCCGCGUGGGUGAAGAAGGUCUUCGGAUCGUAAAACCCUGUUGUUAGAGAAGAAAGUGCGUGAGAGUAACUGUUCACGUUUCGACGGUAUCUAACCAGAAAGCCACGGCUAACUACGUGCC